This 750-nucleotide ribosomal RNA is filed under the name Lathys humilis. Its description in RNAcentral is "partial large subunit ribosomal RNA". It matches the Rfam family "Eukaryotic large subunit ribosomal RNA", at positions 423 to 921 of the family's 3401-position model. Lineage: Eukaryota; Metazoa; Arthropoda; Arachnida; Araneae; Dictynidae. The record is from RNAcentral.
GUGGGCCCUCGAACUCCUGUGAUGAGUGGAUUCAGUCUGGAGUGACAGACACGUGUAUCGGAUAACUAAGCAGGGCUUCUCCGAGCGGGAGCCAUCCGGUAUCGUGGAGUCUCUGUCAUGCCUGAUGCAUUUCUCUCUCAUCCCGAGGAUGCCGCAGCCAGUCAGGGAGUGCAAACAUGAUGACCGAAGGGUGGAAGAUAGCAGGUGGCCGGUGGAGAGCAUUGUGCUCUCUGUCGGCUGUUAGCUGUUCUGCCAGUGGUUCAUCCCCUGACUGAGUGUCUGAUCGUCUCCUCCUCUUUAAUGUGGAUGCCGGAAUUAAGCGUCGCAGGUGAUAACUCUCAUCCUGUACGCACUCCUUUGGGGUGGUCGGAUGUACAUGUGCUUGCCUUUGGUGAUGUUGAAUCCGUUGGAGGCUGAAGGCUUGCGGCAAGUAGGUCGGUCACCCACCUGACCCGUCUUGAAACACGGACCAAGGAGUCUAACAUGUGUGCGAGUCACUGGGUCUUGAAUAGGCCCAUGGGCGCAAUGAAAGCAAAGGCCUUCUCCCGGGAGGCCGAGUUGGGAUCCCUCGUUGUUGGGGGCGCACCAAUGACCCGUCCUAUCCGGUUUACCGGUUGGAUGGAGUUUGAGCAUACACGUUGGGACCCGAAAGAUGGUGAACUAUGCCCGGACAGGAUGAAGCCAGAGGAAACUCUGGUGGAGGUCCGCAACGGUUCUGACGUGCAAUCGAUCGUCAGAUCUGGGUCUAGG